CCCCAUAUAUAAACAUCGACAAGAAAAUCAAAACUCAAGUUAAAUAGUAGAAUAGACAUUCAACAUGAUGGGAUGUACUUUACAGAUGUCUCACUAUCCUCUUCCACGUUUGGGACUGAGGAGACACGGAGGGUCUUCUGCGGUGGAGCUGAUUCCGGAGAUCCCGACGGGAGCGAGCGAACGCGCGUGAAGAGACUGACGCAGGCACGAAAGGUGACCUAGCAGAGGCCAGGAGGUUGCAGGAGCGUCCCCGAGGGUCUUAAGUCUCCCCUCACCCCUGCUGUUAAAGCGGAAGAAAAGAACCGAGCAAAUAAGGUGAUGAAGGAAAAAGACUUCUUGCUGAUGCAGAGGUUGCGCUCACACACCUGUCCUCCUGAUGAACACACAGCUUCCACACUGGUUUUCUCACUGAAGGGAAAGAAUGACUGAGUCGUCCUGUUCCAGGGCUGAGACGGGUGCAGCAUGUCUGGCUCACUCAGACAAGCGUGGAAUGUCAGAGUCAAGAGGAUCACGAAGGACAGAAGCAAUGCCUGAAGAUGUUUGUGUAAAUGCAGAAAAAGUGAAAUCAAUCAGUUCAAUCCAUCAACAGUUGACGAAAUCACAGAUGCCCACUAACUUCCAAGCUUUGAUCAUUUAACUUAUUAAAAAAAUCCUAUCACACAUACAGAUCUAUUCAGUGCAUAAUUAGAAACAGCCGAUAUUACCAUAUUGUGAGA
Carassius auratus (goldfish) is the source of this 716-nucleotide long non-coding RNA. RefSeq lists it as uncharacterized. The record is from RefSeq and is a predicted model, not a curated record. The transcript is spliced from 3 exons. NCBI's taxonomy places the organism in Eukaryota, Metazoa, Chordata, Actinopteri, Cypriniformes, Cyprinidae.